This 265-nucleotide ribosomal RNA is filed under the name Luteibacter sp. ISO155_OTU1024. Its description in RNAcentral is "partial 16S ribosomal RNA". It matches the Rfam family "Bacterial small subunit ribosomal RNA", at positions 30 to 289 of the family's 1533-position model. Lineage: Bacteria; Pseudomonadati; Pseudomonadota; Gammaproteobacteria; Lysobacterales; Rhodanobacteraceae. The record is from RNAcentral.
UUGAACGCUGGCGGCAAUGCUUAACACAUGCAAGUCGAACGGCAGCACAGCAGAGCUUGCUCUGUGGGUGGCGAGUGGCGGACGGGUGAGUAAUGCAUCGGGACCUACCCAGACGUGGGGGAUAACGUAGGGAAACUUACGCUAAUACCGCAUACGUCCUACGGGAGAAAGCGGGGGAUCGAAAGACCUCGCGCGGUUGGAUGGACCGAUGUGCGAUUAGCUUGUUGGUGAGGUAACGGCUCACCAAGGCGACGAUCGCUAGCUG